This 943-nucleotide ribosomal RNA is filed under the name uncultured bacterium. RNAcentral describes it as "bacterial SSU rRNA". It matches the Rfam family "Bacterial small subunit ribosomal RNA", at positions 39 to 958 of the family's 1533-position model. The record is from RNAcentral.
GCGGCGUGCCUCAGACAUGCAAGUCGAACGCGAAAGUUCCCUUCGGGGGGCGAGUAGAGUGGCGCACGGGUGAGUAACACGUAGGUAAUCUACCUUUGGAUGGGGAAUAACAACCGGAAACGGUUGCUAAUACCGCAUAAUGCAGCGGCACCUAAUGGUGACAGUUGUUAAAGCGGGGGAUUGAAAGACCUCGCGUCUGAAGAGGAGCCUGCGGCGGAUUAGCUAGUUGGUAAGGUAAUGGCUUACCAAGGCUAUGAUCUGUAGCCGGCCUGAGAGGGCGGUCGGCCACACUGACACUGACAUACGGGUCAGACUCCUACGGGAGGCAGCAGUCGGGAAUUUUGGGCAAUGGGCGAAAGCCUGACCCAGCAACGCCGCGUGAAGGAUGAAAUCCUUCGGGAUGUAAACUUCGCAAGAACGGGAAGAAUAAGUAGGGGACAAUACCCCCUAUGAUGACGGUACUGUUUGUAAGCUCCGGCUAACUCCGUGCCAGCAGCCGCGGUAAUACGGGGGGAGUAAGCGUUGUUCGGAUUUACUGGGCGUAAAGGGCGCGUAGGCGGCCACCGCAAGUCGGUUGUGAAAUCUCCGGGCUUAACCCGGAAAGGUCAAUCGAUACUGCGGGGCUAGAGUGCAGAAGGGGCAACUGGAAUUCUCGGUGUAGCGGUGAAAUGCGUAGAUAUCGAGAGGAACACCUGCGGCGAAGGCGGGUUGCUGGGCUGACACUGACGCUGAAGCGCGAAAGCUAGGGGAGCGAACGGGAUUAGAUACCCCGGUAGUCCUAGCCUUAAACGAUGAAUGCUUGGUGUCUGGGGUUUUAUAGUCCCCGGGUGCCGUCGCUAACGCUUUAAGCAUUCCGCCUGGGGAGUACGGUCGCAAGACUGAAACUCAAAGGAAUUGACGGGGACCCGCACAAGCGGUGGAGCAUGUGGUUUAAUUCGACGCA